GCACGGGUGAGUAACACGUGACUAACCUACCCUGGAGUGGGGGAUAACUGAGGGAAACCUUAGCUAAUACCGCAUAACACCUACGGGUCAAAGGAGCAAUUCGCUUUGGGAGGGGGUCGCGGCCGAUUAGUUAGUUGGCGGGGUAAUGGCCCACCAAGACUGUGAUCGGUAUCCGGCCUGAGAGGGCGCACGGACACACUGGAACUGAAACACGGUCCAGACUCCUACGGGAGGCAGCAGUGGGGAAUUUUGCGCAAUGGGGGAAACCCUGACGCAGCAACGCCGCGUGGAGGAUGAAGUACUUCGGUACGUAAACUCCUUUCGAUCGGGACGAUAAUGACGGUACCGGAAGAAGAAGCCCCGGCUAACUUCGUGCCAGCAGCCGCGGUAAUACGGGGGGGGCAAGCGUUGUUCGGAAUUAUUGGGCGUAAAGGGUGCGUAGGCGGUUUGGUAAGUCUUAUGUGAAAUCUCCGGGCUCAACUCGGAGUCUGCAUGGGAAACUGCCGGGCUUGAGUGUGGGAGAGGUGAGUGGCAAUUUCCGGUGUAGCGGUGAAAUGCGUAGAUAUCGGAAGGAACACCAGUG
RNAcentral lists this ribosomal RNA (583 nucleotides) under uncultured bacterium. RNAcentral's name for it is "bacterial SSU rRNA". It matches the Rfam family "Bacterial small subunit ribosomal RNA", at positions 100 to 714 of the family's 1533-position model. The record is from RNAcentral.